This 9636-nucleotide long non-coding RNA is filed under the name Capsicum annuum. RNAcentral describes it as "long non-coding RNA (CANN_LNC019857)". The record is from RNAcentral. Lineage: Eukaryota; Viridiplantae; Streptophyta; Magnoliopsida; Solanales; Solanaceae.
CCACCAAUCAUUUUACAAACAUUAAAAAUCAAAUCAAAUUAUUCACAAUACAGCUCAUCAAUUAUUUAAUAUACGAUCAAUCAACCACAAAAGACUAUAAAACAUACAAAAUACUAAAAACUACAAUUCAUCAUCCACAUCUUUAUUCUCAGCCUCCCCCAUUCUAUUAUCAAUAUUUCGUUGAUAUAUCCAGCUAUAAUCAAGUUUCAUCUACACAAUCAAUCACAUUCAAGUAAUUAGUUCAAGUCACAAAAGUUCGCAUUUCAAAUACCUACACCUAAACAUUUUCAAGUCACUAAUUCACUUCACAAGUUACCAAACUAAACUUAAUUCAAAAUGAAAAAAUUCACGUUUUCAAGUACCUACACUUAAACAUUUUGAAGUCACAAAUUCACUUCUCAAGUGACCACACUUUACUAAAAUCAAAACGCAAGUUCACAUUUCAAGUACCUAAAUUCAAAACAAAAGUUCACUAAUCCAUAAUUCAAGUAACUACACUUAAACAUUUCAAGUCACUAAGUCACUUCACAAGUUACCUAUCUAAACUAAAUUAAAAAUGAAAAAUUCACAUUUCAAGUACCUACACCUAAACAUUUAAGUCACUAAUUCACUUCACAAGUUACCAAACUAAACUAAAUUUAAAAUGAAAAGUCCACAUUUCAAAUACCUACAUCUAAACAUUUUCAAGCCAAACUAAACUAAAUUCAAAAUGAAAAGUUCACAUUUCUAAGUCACUAAUUCACUUCAAACGUUAUCAAACUAAACUUAAUUCAAAAUGAAAAGUUCACAUUUCAAGUACCUAUACUUAAACAUUUUCAAGUCACUAAUUCACUUCACAAGUUACUAAAGUAAACUUAAUUCAAAAUGAAAAGUUCACGUUUCAAGUACUUACACUUAAACAUUUUCAAAUCACUAAUUCACUUCUCAAGUGACCACACUUUACUAAAAUCAAAACGCAACCUAAAUUCAAAUUAAAAAUCAAUAAUUCAUAAUUCAAGUAAUUACACUUAAACAUUUUAAGUCACUAACUCACUUCACAAGUUACCUAACUAAACUAAAUUAAAAAUAAAAAAUUCAUAUUUCAAGUACCUACACUUAAACAUUUACAAGUUACCAAACUAAACUUUAUUCAAAAUGAAAAGUUCACCUUUCAAGUACCUACACUAAAAUACUUUUAAGUCACUAAUUCACUUCUCAAGUAACCACACAUUACUAAAAUCAAAAUACAAGUUCAUAUUUCAAGUACCUAAAUUCAAAACAAAAGUCACUAAUUCAUAAUUCAAGUAACUACACUUAAAUAUUUCAAGUCACUAAUUUACUUCACAAGUUACCAAACUAAACUAAAAUCAAAAUGAAAAGUUCACAUUUCAAGUACUACACUUAAACAUUUCAAGUCACUAAUUCACUUCACAAAGUUAGCGAACUAAACUAAAUUCAAAAUAAAAAUUUCACAUUUCAAGUACCUACACCUAAACAUUUUCAAGUUACUAAGUCACUUAACAAGUUACCAAACUAAAGUAAAUUCAAAAUGAAAAGUUCACCUUUCAAGUACCUACACCUAAACAUUUUCACGUCACUAAGUCACUUCACCAGUCCACCUUCCAAGUAACUACACUUAAACAUUUUCGACUCACUAAUGCACUUCUCAAGUGACCACACUUAACUAAAAUUCAAAACAUAAGUUCACAUUUCAAGUACCUACACUUAAAACAUUUUCAAAUCACUUAUUCACUUCUCAAGUGACCACACUUAACUAAAUUCAAAUCACCAAAGUUCACAUUUCAAGUACCUACACUUAAAUAUUUUCAAGUCACUAAUUCACUUAACACGUUACCAAACUAAACUUAAUUCAUAAUGAAAAGUUCAAGUUUUAAGUACCUACACUUAAACAUGUUCAAGUCACUAAUUUACUUCUCAAGUGACCACACUUUACUAAAAUCAAAACGCAACUUAAAUUCAAAAUAAAAGUCACUAAUUCAUAAUUCAAGUAACUACACUUAAACAUUUCAAGUCACUAACUCACUUCACAAGUUACCUAACUAAACUAAAUUCAAAAUGAAAAUUUUACAUUUCAAGUACCUACACCUAAACAUUUACAAGUUACCAAACUAAACUUAAUUCAAAAUAAAAAGUUCACCUUUCAAGUACCUACACUUAAACAUAUUCAAGUCACUAAUUCACUUCUCAAGUGACCACACUUUACUAAAAUCAAAACACAAGUUCACAUUUCAAGUACCUAAAUUCAAAACAAAAGUCACUAAUUCAUAAUUCAAGUAACUACACUUAAAUAUUUCAAGUCCACUAAUUCACUUCACAAGUUACCAAACUAAACUAAAUUCAAAGUAAAAAGUUCAUAUUUCAAGUAUCUACACCUAAACUUUUUCAAGUCACUAAGUCACUUCACAAGUCCACCUUUCAAGUUACUACACUUAAAUAUUUUUGACUCACUAAUGCACUUCUCAAGUGACCACACUUAACUAAAUUCAAAACACAAGUCCACAUUUCAAGUGCCUACACUUAAACAUUUUUAAGUCACUUAUUCACUUCUCAAGUGGCCACACUUAAAUAAAUUCAAAACACAAGUCCACAUUUUAAGGACCUACACUUAAACAUUUUCAAGUCACUAACUCACUUCUCAAGUGACCUCACUUUACUAAAUUCAAAAUACAAGUCCACAUUUCAAGUACCAACACUUAAACAUUUUUGACUCACUAACUCACUUCUCUAGUGACUACACUUAACUAUAUUCAAAAAACAAGUCCACCUUUCAAGUAACUACACUUAAACAUUUUCGACUCACUAAUUCACUUCUCAAAUGACCACACUUAACUAAAUUCAAAACACAAGUCCACAUUUUAAGUACCUACACUUAAAUAUUUUCAAGCUACUUAUUCACUUCUCUAGUGACCACACUUAACUAUAUUCAAAACACAAGUUCACCUUUCACAUAAGUAUACUUAAACAUUUUCAACUCACUAAUUCACCUCUCAUGUGACCACACUUUAGUAAAUUCUACACAUUCAUGACAAGAGAGAAAUGACAUGAUAGUUUAUUCAAAAGGCGGGCAAGGAUCCAUCACAAUUAGAAUAAAGCAGAUAAAAAAUUACCAUAAAUAGUAGAGUAAGAAUAAUCAUAGAGGCAUAAUUCCACUACAAAAAGCGUGUAAAAUUACGGAGGUGUUUUUGCAGGGGUUAUUUUAAGCCCCGUAAAAUUAUAUGAAAUGCGGGGGGUUAAAAAGUCACCUCUAAAAUUUAUAAAUUAUAUUGUGAGGGUUUUAAAACCCCGCUGUCAAUAGAAAAAAAUAGCUUAUACCAUUAAAUAAAUUUCCCUCAUUUUUUAUCCAUUGACCAAAAUUUUUCCUUAUUUUUUAAUUCACACCUUACAUUCCCCCAAAAUCUCCCUCUCUCUCAUGUUUCCCCCAAAUCAGAUUCUCUGUCGUCAACCCCCCACCCCCCCAAAAAAAUCAACUCCAUUUCCGUUGAAAUUGACUCCGGUGGCCGGCCAUUAAUACGCCCUCCGGCCAUUGGAAUUGAGCUGGACUCCGAAAUUGUUAGAAUCACUUGUUGUGUCGUUGUUCUUAUAAUUUUGUUGUUCAUCUUCUAUGCAUCAUAUUCUUGUUGUUAAUAUAGUUUGGGUGGCUGAUUUGGUGUUCAAAACACCUUGUAUUCUUGUCAGUUUCUUCCUGUUAUUGUUGGCCGUGUUGUGUAAUUGUUGGGUUCAUGGUUUGUGCUUGAGUUAUGGACUAUUUUAGGACUUUUUUUGGUGCAUUUCAAGUUUGUAGUCAUGUAUCUGAAAAGAUUCUUGUAUUUGCUAAGAAUAUGAAACUCUUCUAUACUUUCUUAAAGUUUGUUGAUGAUUUUAGUCGAGAGAGCUUCAUCUCCUGUGUAGCUGUUAGAUCUACCAACAAAUCUUGUUGCCGUGAUUAAGAUAUUACUGUACAUUGUAUUUCAAAUUUCCCUUUAUCUUGUCGUAGACGUAUGAGGAGUAUCUUGAAGCUCAUGGCAGAGGCAGCAAAAUAUUGAACCACUCUGUUAGUACUCUUCUGACAUUUUUCUUGUUAUAUAUUCCUUUAUUAUAGAUAAACCCAUGAAUCAUGUUCUUUUGGGUUAGAUUUUGCAACAAUUGUAAAACGUCUCUCUGUUUCGAAAAAUUCUAUUCUAGCUUUCUUUCUAUAUUGAGAAAAGUAUUUAGAUUUCCCUUAUUAUGCAAUAAGCAGGAGAGAGCUAUUAGCUCAAUUAGUAGAGGUUGAGGGACUUGUGUUGUUUAGUCAUUGUGUGAAUCUAAGUUAGUCCAGUACUUAGUGGAUAAGGGUAGGGGAAGGUUCAUUGUCCCUGAGGUUCGAGAGCUGUGGUUGGCCCAAAGGGCCGACUCUAGAUGAAUUUCUCGGUUAUCAAAACACAAAAAAGCCUUGGUUUCAGGUUCCGUGAGUGCUAAGAACUAUAUACUACUACUUAGAUGAUGUAAGAAAAGGGAUCAAUCAGUUUCUAGACCAUGAUCUUCUGUCGCAACUCCAUACUGCCUCUGGUAGUUCUUAAGUAUACAAGACAUAGUCCUCUUUGUUGCAGUUGUUAGUUCCUUUCUAGUACACAAGACAUAGUCAUCUCUGUCAAGUAUACAAGAUAUAGUCCUUUCUGUCGCAACUCCAUACUUCUUCUGGUGUUUUUUAUUACUGAUACAGUGAGGUGAUCUUAGAAUUAGAUUAUGAUGCUUCAAGUAAGUUAAUAAAGGUCCCCUCUUUAUGGGACUAGGACAUAGGGUAGAAAUUUUGUGUACAUAUAUAUAUGUAUAUGACAUUUAUUUACUUUUCAAGAUCAUUGCGUUUUGAGUUUUCUUUGUUCUUAAAGUUCGAGAAUGAGUUCACCAAUGUUUAUUUUCAAUCAUACUUAUAGAUAUAUUUGUUCCAUGUUGAUCCUAUCAAGAAGGUAGAUUCAGUGGGAAAGAAUAUACAACAUUAAUCUUAACAAGAAAACAAUGUUAAGCUACACAGUGCAGUGUCUACUAUCUCAAGCUCAUUGCUGUUAUUUUUUUCUUUGUGUUCACUUGCUAGACUUGCCUUGUGCAUAAAUCUUGAAUCCAUUGAUGUUUAACUUCCUAGAUGUCAUCUAACUAAACACUACAUUAUUUACUGCAGAUAUGCCAAGGUUCAAGCUAUUGCAGAAAAAGAAAAAACUAGGUCCGUUGGUAUCUACAACACAAGGUACUGAAUCAGCACCUUCUUUUCUGGACCAAACAAAUCUGUCUCCGCCAAUUCAACAUGCACCGCAACUAUCUCGACUAGUUUAUUCAUCGUCCCAUCCAUCUCCUAUAGAUCAGGACACUUCACAUCCGGGUCCAACAGUUUUCCCUGAAUCACAACCAUCUCCAACAGAUCACUUGACAUCAUAUCCAUCUCUGGUUGGUGGGGAUUCAUCACAGCCAUCUCCUGUUAGUUGGGACUCAUCACUUCCAUUUCCUGUUAGUCAGGACUCAUCACAUCUAUCUCCUAUUGGUUGGAACUCAUCACAACCAUCUUCUAUUGGUUGCGACUCAUCACAGUCAUGUCCUGUUGGUUUGAACUCAUCACAACCAUCUCGAUCAGUUCACUCUACAUCACAUCUGGGUCUGACAAAUUAGGAAUCAUCACAGUCAUCUCGAUCAUUUCAUUCUACAUCAUAUUCGACUCCAACAAAUUAGGACUCAGCACAACCAGCUCCACCAGAUGAGGCUGCACCCCACAAAUAUUCUAGACGUGAAUCGAAUAUACAUUGGGUCGUUGACGCAAUAGGUAAAUACUUCAGACUAUCAAUAAAUAUUCAAUAGACCUUUCUAAGCCAAUGUAAUGUUUCUCAUAGCUUCACCCAAUCUUUUUCUUAUAACAGAUUCAAGAAAUAAUGUCAAGAAAAUCAAAGUGAAAGCUAAGAAAGUACUAAAUUUAACAGGUGAAGAACGUAUCAUGAUUAAGUUUGAUGUUUAUGAAGAACCAUUUGGGGAAGCAUGCAGAUUGUGAAAUAUUAGCGUGUGAUUGCUCUUUAUUUCCAAUCAACUUUGAGAAAUGGUCGAGUUUACCUAUGACAUACUUCAACCGCGUCUUCGAGCAUAUUAUAAAGGUAUAAGCUCUAAAUUUUGAUGACUAUACCACUGAUUAAUUUUGUCUUUGAAUUUUAUAUUUACAUGUAGUAGAAAAGCUAACCAAUAUUUCUAUUUUGAAGCCCAAAUUCUUCUUUGACACAGCCGAAUCAAUUGCUCGACGACAUGUUUCUUUAUAUAUUAGAAAAAGUGGGCUGCAAAUAAGAUUAAUAUGUGGAAUGAAGUUGAUGAUACACUUAAAAGUAAAGCUCAGAUUAUGGAUACGGUGCCGGAUGGGAUCCCAUCGGAUCAAUGAAUUUCUUUUACUGAAUACAAUUUUAAAGAAUCAACAAAGGUAUUUAUGUAUAUGAAUUUCUUUAUAGCUGUAUAAUUAUUUUUUUAUAAUUGAGGUAUAAAUAUAUUUUUAUAAGAAAAUGCGUCCAAGGAACCAUGAAAAUCGAAAAAAACAGACAAUUCCACACAUCCGUGGCUCCAAAGCCAAUGCUACAAGAAGGGCUAAAAUGGUGAGUGAAUUAACCUCGAAUGUAUUAUUCCUAAAUAGAAAAUUAUUUUGAUUAUAUUUUUUUAAUUUAUAGAUGGUCGAGACUGGACAAUGGCCUGGACGAGCACAAAUGUACAUUGCUACUCAUAAGAAUCAAGAUGGAGUAUAUGUUAAUAAAGUGGCAAAAGAAAUAUGUGUGAGUUAUACUUAUGUGCCAUAGACUAUUGUCGAGUAAUCAACCACGGUAUGCUAAAUAAGUUUUUAUUUUUAAUUUAUUUUGAUAAUAAAUUUUCUAUAUGUAGGAAAAAAUUGAGUCAGCUUUGAGCCAAAGCACUACAGAUGAGUCUUAAGUUUCUCCAAAUGAUGCCGUUGGUAAGGUUCUAGGGCAAGAGCACUAUGGAAGGGUGAGAUGCUUGGGAUUAGGAGUUGUUCCUAGUAGAGUUUUCAAACAAGAUAGACCUCGUUUUGGUGGUACAAGUACUUCAAGUAGUAGAGGUUCUUGUUCAUUCCAAUGUCGAGAAAAUUUUGCACAAAUGAUGAAUUCUCAUAAUUAGAUAAUGAGUGCUUUGAAGGCAUAUAUGAUAAUGAAAGAAGGAAAGAUACCGGAACAAUUUUUAGGGCUCUUUGAUUCUCCUUCAAUGGUUUCUCCCACAGCGAUACGUAAAGUUCUCUUUUUUUUUUCCAAUUGAAUCGAUUGUGAAAAUUUUCUCUAAUUUUAUACUUUUUUUGAAUUGGUUUGCUGCAACUUUUCUUGAUCAGAUUGGAAGUUUUUCUUGUGUUGUUUUUUGGGUUGUUGUGUUUUGUAUCCUUUGCUAUAGUAGAGUGAUUGUUGUGAGCUCUAUUAUCCUUCAAAGAAUGUUUGGAUUUCUGUAUCAUGGAUGUAUGUUUUUAAGCCUACAGUUCACUGACAUCCAUGUUACUUAUGUUUCUUGACUCCCCCACCUACAGUCAACUACCCAGUGGUUAAAAGAGCUAAAAGGUCUAGGAUGUGUAUAGAUUCGAAAAUUGGAUGAGGUAGGGAGGUUUAACAUAUAUAUAUUGUGCAGACAGGGAAUUACAUGAAGUUCAAGAUUUCCUUUUUUCUUUACCUAACACCUUUUCCCUUAAAUUACAAGUAAAUUUGAAUGGGUGAGGAUAUGUCUAUGACCCCUAAGGCUCCGGAGAAAUUAUUGAGAGAAACAUAACAAAGACUGAAAAUGGAAGGCUGCUUCGUUACAUUAGAAGAAAUGGUUCCCUUGUUAUGGAAAUUUAAUAAAUUUAAGUCUGAAGAAAAUGACCCUCUUAAUCAAGUUGAAUUUAGUAAGUUUAAUAAAUUUAACUGGGGUAGUUCUAAAUCUCUCAUCCCUGUUCAAUUUGAGAGGCUCAACGACAUUGGUUUUCAACCAAACAGAAACUUACAAAUAAAAGAAAUAUGUGAGAGUCAACACUCAAAUUUUUUCAAUUUAUGCAGUAUAAUUGUUAGAUUAUUAAAAGUUUGAUGUGUGCAAUCUGAAUAUACAGAAAUUUUCCUAAUAUUGACAUGUUAGCCAGUUCUCUGAUUCCCUUUUACAGUAUAAUGUCCGUUUUUCAAAAUUAUAAGGAAUUCACUAUUACUUAAUAUUUUUGUGGGUUUCUUGAUUGAAUCAUCUUGGACAUUUUGUGAUAACCAUGUUAAGAAGACAACAUUUCCAACCAGAAUUACUGAAAAGAGGUAAAAGAAGGAAAGAAAGAAUGCAAUCUGUUCUGCCUUGUGCAAUUAACAAUAGACAUGUCUGCAAACUGUUCUGCCUUGUGAACUGGUGCCUUGUGUGGAUUUUUUAAUUUUGCUCUUGCUAUUGUAAUUCUCUGUUUCUGUCCACCUGAUAGUUGGAGACCCCUUUUCCCUACCUAGAGUAGGACAUUUUGAAGUUGCAUGAUGUUUAACUUUUCAAUCACUAACUUUGUUACAUAUCAAAAUUAGUACUCCCUGGCAUUGGUUGUCUAAUUUGCUUAUUUUCCUUUAUGCUUCACCUUUCUUUGAGGUGCAUAUUUUUCCAAUGCUUAUGUAUCAAAAUCUCGGAAUGACAUUAAGAAAAUAUUUGUACUUGAGUUAUAAGGACUUCAAGUUUAUCGAUUGAUUUUUAUACUUUGCAUUUUUAUGUAGCCAAGUGAUGCAGCUAGUAGACCCGUUUCGCCCAUGGAUGCAAGGAGAUCACGCAAUGAUAAUGAUCUUAAUGAUAUUCUUUGAUUUCGUUGCAUUUGUAUUGGGUAUUCAAUUAUGACGACGUAAUUGUGUAGUUGGAGUGAAUCUUAGAAUAUUGAAGGUUUUGUGUUUAAAUUUAAUUUUGGAGUUUGAAGAUACUAGUUAAUAUUGAAAAUUUGGAGUUUGAAGAUGUUAAUGUUGAAAAUUUAAUUUUGAAGUUUAAUGUUCAAUGUAUUUUUAAUAUUUGUCAAUUAAAAUGUUUAAUUACUCUGUUAUAUUAAUGAUAUAUGAGUUGAAUAAAUAUUAAAUUGUACGUUAUGCCUAAAGGAACAAUUAAAUUUGAGCUAAAAUUAGAAUCUACAAUUAGUUAUUAAAAUGGAUGGGCCCUAUUAAAUUUUAAAAAAUAAUUGUGGACAUGUUUUAAACCCCCGUAAUUUCAAAAGAAUCAAAUUAAGAUUAGCGGUGGUCAAUAACCGCCGCAAAUUAAUUAUGGGGGUCAAAAAAAAAUCGUUGCAAAUUGUUUGUGAUGGCUUGAAUUGUGGGGGUUUUGGGAACCGUUGGAAUUACAUUUUGUGGGGGUUUAAAACCCCCGCGAAUCGUAAAUUUAACCCCCGCAAUUUGAACUGUUUUUUGUAGUGAAUUCAUUUGAUUCAAGUUCCAGUCGAUGUCACAGAGAUGCAGUACCAUCAAAAUACACUCAAAAGCACCUUAUGUGAUCAGAAUGCUAAGAUCCAGUAAUUGACAUGCAACUAUCAGUAUUUCAGCUGCAGUGGUAGCUCAAAACAAUAAGUCAACGAGAUAUCAAAAAUAGCCUAAGAUUAUAUAUACUAAUAUUCACUUUUUCUUUACAAAAACGAUAAAAGGCAAUGGAAAAAAGGAGAGUAAAUAAUAAAGGAAUUAAUUUGUCGCUUGAAAAUGGAAAGAAACU